RNAcentral lists this transfer RNA (67 nucleotides) under Onthophagus sp. BM670919. RNAcentral describes it as "tRNA-Leu". Lineage: Eukaryota; Metazoa; Arthropoda; Insecta; Coleoptera; Scarabaeidae. The record is from RNAcentral.
UUACUUUGGCAGAAUAGUGUUUUAAAUUUAGAAUUUAAUUAUGUAUAAAAUUUUUAUACAAGUAAUA